RNAcentral lists this ribosomal RNA (253 nucleotides) under uncultured bacterium. Its description in RNAcentral is "partial 16S ribosomal RNA". It matches the Rfam family "Bacterial small subunit ribosomal RNA", at positions 524 to 776 of the family's 1533-position model. The record is from RNAcentral.
GACGAAGGGGGCUAGCGUUGUUCGGAAUUACUGGGCGUAAAGCGCGUGUAGGCGGUUGCCCAAGGCGGGGGUGAAAGCCUUGAGCUCAACUCAAGAAAUGCACUCGGUACUGGGUGACUAGAGGACCGGAGAGGAUAGUGGAAUUCCCAGUGUAGUGGUGAAAUACGUAGAGAUUGGGAAGAACACCAGUGGCGAAGGCGGCUAUCUGGACGGUUUCUGACGCUAAGACGCGAAAGCGUGGGGAGCAAACAGG